Molecule: long non-coding RNA, 2434 nt
Organism: Falco peregrinus (peregrine falcon)
Lineage: Eukaryota; Metazoa; Chordata; Aves; Falconiformes; Falconidae
Exons: 3
Source: RefSeq, a predicted model, not a curated record
GCAGCCCUGACUGCUUUUAGAGCCGCAGUUAUGCUGUAGAGCUUUUAGCACAGGUACAGUCAUAAUUCUUAUGCGGGUACAAAGCAGAAUGUACUUCAGUAACCAUCAUAAAUAAAUAUUGGAAUAUGGGCUAACAACGUAAGUACUUUUACCAUGAUAUAGCCAGAUCCAUGCUAAGAAAGACAGGAAAUAUGAGUUUAUGCUGGCACUGUUAAAACAGGAACACCUUUUAGUUUCACAGGGACUAAUCUGUGAGUCACUGGUGAUGAAAAGGUUAUGCUUGAAGAACCUGGUUCAAUAACUAUUGUAUUUAGAUGGAGCCCUUCCUGAGCUUUGGAUCAACUUUUCAUUUCUAACUUAGUUAUUUGUAAGUUAGAAGAUAUUUCAAAUGCCUCUGGAUUUCUUUUGAUGUGUUGAAUGUGUUCCAAAGUGAAUAAUGGUUUGAAGGAACGGCUUGUGCUUGACAGAGUGGACUUUAGAAAGACAACUUACUUUUUACCACUGUAAAUCUUUGCUAUAGGAAAGUCAUAGUUAAAGCCAAACCUGAUUGUGACUGUAAGGAUGGGGAAUGCAAGGGAAGUAGGUAAGACCUUUUCUACUACAGUGAUUAAAAAACAGAGCAGUGCAGGCUGGGCUGUGAGUUAGUUUGGAAAGGUAACAUUUCAACUUGUGGAAUAAGCAAGAAGGGGCUAAAGCUUACUUACUGUGAGCUGCUUGCUUAAACGCAUCAAGCUACAGGGGAGGUCUGUUUAAAAUCACUUUGCUUAGCAAAAUAGCAACGAUUAGGGUUAGAAACAGUUUGCCUGUUAACAUCUAAUUUCCUGGCUGUGACUUCAUGGCAAUAGCUGUAUCGUAUGAAAGACCUAAACCCAAACAUCGGUCAAAAAAUCUAGAAAAUAGCCAGAAGUAUGUUGGUAUGUGAUCCCUGGCUGGUUUCUUUGAACUAUCUGAACUUUCCCAACUUCCCUUUUCAGGAUCAGCUGUGAAAUGUAGCCCUCUGGAUAUGCCUGGCUGUGAAAUUACCUUUUCUAAGAGCUGGCAAGUCCUGUAACUGUGCAGACUCUUCUGUAGUUGACCCAGCUUUAUUCCUCCGCUGGCCUCAGUAGUCUCCUCCUUGCUGCUUCAGAAAAGAUUAGUCCUGCUUGAUGAAGUCCCCUACCAAGGAAACCAAGUGUUCAGCUGGUCCUCCUGGCAAGGUAAGAACUUGGAGCACAGUGGUGGGAUGCUGCUCAGCGGUGUAUAUGUCUCAGAUGCCAUUGUUUGUGGAGGGCUUGUGCAGGCAGGCAGCUGUGUAACAGCAUUGGAGCAGUUUUCUUGCCUGCCCCACAUUUGUCCCUAGUUGCCAGGUUUCAGGUGAAGCAGGCAGUGCCUGUGUCCAUCCCCACUCAGUCUUCCCUUGUGUCUUUUCUUUUCCCUGUCUUUAUAAAUUAAGUACCUGGAGGACUAAUCUGGGUGGGUUUAUCUACUCUGUCCUGCAAUUUGGUGGCAAACAAGACAGUUACAUGUCUACCUGUCAAUGAAAGGGGCAGGAACAGUGGGGUACAAAUGCCAACAAUAAGCCAUGUGCACAUUUCCUAAAGUGUGGUUGUUGGGGGUCUGUCUGAUGAGGAGACUGGUGUGAGAGAUCAGGAGGCUACAUAAUGGAUGAGGCGAUGUUUAGAAAACAUUUAAAUAACGGAGCGGGUGUGUGGGGAGACCAUCUAUUUUCUUUCACUUCCUAAUGCUCUGGGAGCAGCGCUUGCCAGCAGCCCCUGAAGCCUUCUCAGCCCUGUAACACACUUUGGUUGCCUCAGAGCAGAACAGUAAGAAGGUAAGCAGGGAGCUGCAUUUCAGCUUUGUCAGGCUAGUGGCUGAUGUGGGAAGCACCAUAAGGAGCGAUACAGAAUUCUUUAAGGACAUUACUUAAAUCCAAGAUGCCAUUUCAAACUCCCCAAUUCCUGAAGUAACGCUAGGUUGUACAGAAAGCAUGUUUUUCUCCCUCCAGACUGGAACCUCCAAAAGUACCACUGUACAGCUGGGUCCAGUUUCAAGGUUACAAAUGUAUACUCAACAGACCCACUGCCAUCCCACUUUCCUGCACCCUGGGGUGAAAGAGCAGCCCAGUGCAGAGACGAUGCAGCUUGCAGCAUGCAAAACGCAACUUGGAAAACUUCUGCUUUAGAACGCUCUACAAUGUAAUCAGAUCAAACACUAUCAUUUUUCCUUCCAUACAGAGCUUUGCUAUGACUGAAGCAGAAGAACAGUAUUAACUGCUAGCAUGCUCAUUAUCAUGCUUAACUAAAAGCAGAUUCUUUCCAUUGCACCCUAUAGAUAGUCGUAAUUGCACAGUACAAUUUGAUAUUUUAACAGUCUCCCACCCCAACUGCACAGUCUUUGGUACAGCUGGUGUACACGUAAACUUCUAUCUAAGACUGGCUAUUGAACUAAGUGGAAA